This is a non-coding RNA of Mycena vitilis, 102 nucleotides long. The record is from the annotation of a GenBank genome assembly. Lineage: Eukaryota; Fungi; Basidiomycota; Agaricomycetes; Agaricales; Mycenaceae.
GCCUCAAUAGAUCAACGGUAGAGAUCACCCUUGCCAUUAUAUAUGUAUAAUCCUGUAGAAUGGUUUCCAAGGACGAUGUGGGUUCGAUUCCCACUUGAGGCA